Molecule: ribosomal RNA, 208 nt
Filed under: uncultured bacterium
Lineage: Bacteria
Description: partial 16S ribosomal RNA
Rfam family: Bacterial small subunit ribosomal RNA
Source: RNAcentral
CACGUAGGCGGAUAGGUCAGUCAGAUGUGAAAGCCCGGAGCUUAACUCCGGAACUGCAUUUGAUACUACUUGUCUUGAGUAUGGUAGAGGGGGGUGGAAUUCCCGGUGUAGAGGUGAAAUUCGUAGAUAUCGGGAGGAACACCAGAGGCGAAGGCGACCCCCUGGGCCAUAACUGACGCUGAGGUGCGAAAGCGUGGGGAGCAAAACA